Molecule: ribosomal RNA, 1134 nt
Filed under: Triticum aestivum (bread wheat)
Lineage: Eukaryota; Viridiplantae; Streptophyta; Magnoliopsida; Poales; Poaceae
Description: partial small subunit ribosomal RNA
Source: RNAcentral
AUGGAAGGAUUUUCUGUAGAGUGGCGCGCUAUGAUCCAUAGCUUCGUUUUUGGAGGUAGUGUUGCCAUUAAGGUCAAUGAUGACAUUGGACACUAUUUCCAAACGAAGAAGGGAUUGCGACAAGGUGACUCGGUAUCGCCCAUGCUAUUCAAUAUAGUGGCGGAUAUGCUAGCGGUCAUGAUUGAGCGCGCUAAGGUUGAUGGCCAAAUUGAUGGGAUAGUAAAUCAUCUAGUUGAUGGUGGUCUCUCUAUACUUCAAUAUGCCGAUGAUACGAUUCUCUUCACGGAUCAUGACCUCGAGAAAGCGAGAAAUAUGAAACUGAUUUUAUCAGCAUUCGAGCAACUCUCGGGUCUUAAGAUCAAUUUUCAUAAAAGUGAAUUGUUUUGCUUUGGUGACGCUCAAGACGAUACCCACCUGUAUGCUGAACUGUUCGGAUGCGGGUUGGGCCAGUUUCCGAUCACAUAUUUGGGGAUACCGAUACAUUAUCAGAGACUCACAAAUGUUGAAUGGAAACACGUCGAGGAGAGACUGCAAAAAAGACUUAGUAGUUGGAAAGGUAAACUGUUGUCUCUGGGUGGAAGAUUGGUCCUCAUAAAUUCAGUACUAAGUAAUAUGGUACUAUAUAUGAUUUCCUUCUUCCAGUUGCAGAAAGGAGUUUUACAUAGAUUGGAUUAUUUCCGAUCAAGAUUCUUUUGGCAAGGAGAUAAAGAGAUAAAGAAAUAUCGACUGGCUAAAUGGAGUGUGGUUUGUCGUCCCAAAGACCAAGGCAGGUUGGGCAUUCAUGGCCUUGAGGUUAAGAAUAGGGCCCUACUCGGGAAAUGGUUGUUUAAAUUACUGACGGAAGAUGGUGUAUGGCAAACCCUCCUAAGGAGGAAAUAUGUGGGUUCCAAGGUGGUAUCCCAAGUAUACUGGAAGCCUAGGGAUACCCACUUUUGGGUGGGUCUAAUGGCUACGAAGAAAUAUUUCUUCUGCUAUGGAUCCUUCUCAAUCAAGGACGGCUCGGAAAUUAGAUUCUGGGAGGACAAGUGGCUAGGAAAUGCCACACUCCGGGAACAAUAUCCAACCCUGUACAAUAUUGUGCGUCACAAGGGUGAUACUAUCGCCACGGUAAUGAAUCAUUUCCACGGAAUGUGA